GAGACAGCCAGGAGGUUGGCUUAGAAGCAGCCAUCCUUGAAAGAGUGCGUAAUAGCUCACUGGUCGAGUGAUUCUGCGCCGAUAAUGUAGCGGGGCUCAAGUACACCGCCGAAGUCGUGUCGCCACACAUGUUGUGGUGGGUAGGGGAGCGUCGUGUGCCGGGUGAAGCAGCCGUGGAAGCGUGUUGUGGAUGGUUCACGAGUGAGAAUGCAGGCAUGAGUAGCGAUACACACGUGGGAAACGUGUGCGCCGAUU
Molecule: ribosomal RNA, 255 nt
Filed under: Streptomyces johnsoniae
Lineage: Bacteria; Bacillati; Actinomycetota; Actinomycetes; Kitasatosporales; Streptomycetaceae
Description: Streptomyces sp. DSM 41886 partial 23S ribosomal RNA
Rfam family: Bacterial large subunit ribosomal RNA
Source: RNAcentral